Molecule: ribosomal RNA, 438 nt
Filed under: uncultured Bacillota bacterium
Lineage: Bacteria; Bacillati; Bacillota
Description: bacterial SSU rRNA
Rfam family: Bacterial small subunit ribosomal RNA
Source: RNAcentral
GGGCCCGCACAAGCAGUGGAGUAUGUGGUUUAAUUCGAAGCAACGCGAAGAACCUUACCAGGGCUUGACAUCCCGUGCAUAGCGCAGAGAUGCGUGAAACCCUUCGGGGCACGGAGACAGGUGGUGCAUGGUUGUCGUCAGCUCGUGUCGUGAGAUGUUGGGUUAAGUCCCGCAACGAGCGCAACCCUUGCUGUCAGUUACCAUCAUUAAGUUGGGGACUCUGGCAGGACUGCCGGUGACAAAUCGGAGGAAGGUGGGGACGACGUCAAAUCAUCAUGCCCCUUAUGUCCUGGGCUACACACGUACUACAAUGGCUAUAACAGAGGGAUGCAAAGAGGCAACUCGGAGCGAAACCCCAAAAAUAGUCCCAGUUCGGAUUGUGGGCUGCAACCGCCCACAUGAAGUCGGAAUUGCUAGUAAUGGCAGGUCAGCAUACUG